GUCGAUCGUGGGACGCGGGCGGUUCGCCGCCCGGGNCUCGGCGAGAAGUCCAUUGAACCUUAUCAUUUAGAGGAAGGAGAAGUCGUAACAAGGUUUCCGUAGGUGANCUGCGGAGGAUCAUUG
RNAcentral lists this ribosomal RNA (123 nucleotides) under Catasetum sp. SRR-2011. RNAcentral's name for it is "partial 18S ribosomal RNA". It matches the Rfam family "Eukaryotic small subunit ribosomal RNA", at positions 1710 to 1831 of the family's 1831-position model. The record is from RNAcentral. Lineage: Eukaryota; Viridiplantae; Streptophyta; Magnoliopsida; Asparagales; Orchidaceae.